This 851-nucleotide ribosomal RNA is filed under the name uncultured bacterium. RNAcentral's name for it is "bacterial SSU rRNA". It matches the Rfam family "Bacterial small subunit ribosomal RNA", at positions 8 to 859 of the family's 1533-position model. The record is from RNAcentral.
AGAGUUUGAUCAUGGCUCAGAUUGAACGCUGGCGGAAUGCUUUACACAUGCAAGUCGAACGGUAGAGGGGGCAACCCCUUGAGAGUGGCGAACGGGUGAGUAAUGUAUCGGAACGUGCCCAGUCGUGGGGGAUAACGUAGUGAAAAUUACGCUAAUACCGCAUACGAUCUAUGGAUGAAAGCGGGGGAUCGCAAGACCUCGCGCGAUUGGAGCGGCCGAUAUCAGAUUAGGUAGUUGGUGGGGUAAAGGCUCACCAAGCCAACGAUCUGUAGCUGGUCUGAGAGGACGACCAGCCACACUGGAACUGAGACACGGUCCAGACUCCUACGGGAGGCAGCAGUGGGGAAUUUUGGACAAUGGACGCAAGUCUGAUCCAGCCAUUCCGCGUGCAGGACGAAGGCCUUCGGGUUGUAAACUGCUUUUGUACGGAACGAAAAAGCUCUUAUUAAUACUAGGAGUCCAUGACGGUACCGUAAGAAUAAGCACCGGCUAACUACGUGCCAGCAGCCGCGGUAAUACGUAGGGUGCAAGCGUUAAUCGGAAUUACUGGGCGUAAAGCGUGCGCAGGCGGUUAUAUAAGACAGAUGUGAAAUCCCCGAGCUUAACUUGGGAACUGCAUUUGUGACUGUAUAGCUAGAGUACGGCAGAGGGGGAUGGAAUUCCGCGUGUAGCAGUGAAAUGCGUAGAUAUGCGGAGGAACACCGAUGGCGAAGGCAAUCCCCUGGGCCUGUACUGACGCUCAUGCACGAAAGCGUGGGGAGCAAACAGGAUUAGAUACCCUGGUAGUCCACGCCCUAAACGAUGUCAACUGGUUGUUGGGUCUUCACUGACUCAGUAACGAAGCUAACGCG